UUGUUAACCCUACUCCCAGUGUGUAUUUCAGCUCAGCCUUCCCUCCCUUCUUUGCCAGUUUGUCUUGUACCACGUGUCAGUGGUCCAGCCUUGGUUUUCCCUCAUGUUUGUCCAACAGUUUUGACCAGUUUGGGGAAAUGAAUGGGCAGCCUUUGUGGACCUGCUGGAGGCACAAGCUGCAGAUGGGACGUCCGUGCUGGCUGCAGAAGAACUCUAUCAGCUUGUUGUGGUCCAGACAGAUAUGCUCUGACAGGUCCCUGACAGGCUGACGUAACUGGUGGAAACUGAAUUUGGGAUUUUCCCGAUGAGGACGAAGGUGCUCCUCACAGAAAGAGACCAUGCAGGUGAGGCAGGUCUGGGAUGCUUCUGCCUCCAUACAGGUGUCACACAUUGAGGUGUCACACCGUAUGACGUCAUCUUCCUUUUCUUCUUCGUGGGUCUCUUCUGUGACCUGUUUGUCCUCACCGUCGUUGGACCUCAAGGUGAAGGUCUUCACAACAGUGCUGAGGACCGUGUUUUUCUUCAGCUCUGGUUUAGUUGGGAAAAGAGUCCGACACUGAGGACAGCUGUAGGUAUCCUUCCAGCUGGCGAGAAGGCAGUCCUGGCAGAAGUUGUGUCCGCAGGGGAGAGUCACCGGACAGUCAAAGGGGCUCAGACAGAUGCUGCAAGUCAGCUCGUCCUCCAGACUCAUGAGGGAAAACUGACUCUCGUCCACAUCGGCCAUGAUGAGUGCUCGGGUGAGGCUGUGAGGGAGAAACGAAACCUAACUUGUGAAGCGCACAAAAAGGUUUGUAAGGACAUGAGCUUCACUUUUUGUCAGCUUCAAAGUCAGCUGGUUGGAUCAUGAGGGGACAAGAGAAACUUUAAAUUUCCAAAACUAAACGGAAUGAUUUGUUUAUUUUUGUAACUCUGAGUUACUUUAAUGCAAACACUCUUUUAAAAAUACCUUUAUCAACACUUUAAUGUAAAACAAGAUGAAACAAAAUACAUUUACAUCACUUCUUUAUGCACUUAACUUUCUCAGUUAGCUAUCGAUGUAUGUCCACCUUUUAUUCUCUGUUUACAGGAUUUUCAGCCUUUAACACUAAAUGACCAUAACAAAUAACUCUUAACUCUCACAUACCUUAAGUGCUUAGCUACCUGCAGAUCAGAAGAAAUACGGGCUCUCCCUGUGUGAUCAGAAUUCCGUGACUGCGACACAGCUCGCUCUCUCUCUCUGUAUCUCUCUCUCUCUCUGCUCAAAUCUAUGGGUGUGGCCAAAAUAUUACACACUAAAAAUAUUGGUGGAGAAACAAAUGUCAUAGUUCUCUAAUUAUAAAGAUCUAAAGCACAUGAA
Molecule: long non-coding RNA, 1336 nt
Organism: Notolabrus celidotus (New Zealand spotty)
Lineage: Eukaryota; Metazoa; Chordata; Actinopteri; Labriformes; Labridae
Exons: 2
Source: RefSeq, a predicted model, not a curated record